GGGGAUUUGGCUCAGUGGUAGAGCACUUGCCCAGCAAGCCUAAGACCCUGGGUUCAGUCCCCA
RNAcentral lists this transfer RNA (63 nucleotides) under Rattus norvegicus (Norway rat). It matches the Rfam family "tRNA". Rfam says of the family: Transfer RNA (tRNA) molecules are approximately 80 nucleotides in length. Their secondary structure includes four short double-helical elements and three loops (D, anti-codon, and T loops). The record is from Rfam by way of RNAcentral. Lineage: Eukaryota; Metazoa; Chordata; Mammalia; Rodentia; Muridae.